Molecule: non-coding RNA, 78 nt
Organism: Quercus robur (English oak)
Lineage: Eukaryota; Viridiplantae; Streptophyta; Magnoliopsida; Fagales; Fagaceae
Source: the annotation of a RefSeq genome assembly
GCCUAUAAGGUUGUAGUAUAGUGGUGAGUAUUCCCGCCUGUCACGCGGGUGACCCGGGUUUGAUCCCCGGCAACGGCG